Bacillus rossius redtenbacheri is the source of this 3485-nucleotide long non-coding RNA. RefSeq lists it as uncharacterized. The record is from RefSeq and is a predicted model, not a curated record. NCBI's taxonomy places the organism in Eukaryota, Metazoa, Arthropoda, Insecta, Phasmatodea, Bacillidae. The transcript has 2 exons.
ACUUCGGUGCGCGCCUCCUGACUGACUGGUACCGUUUGUAUCUGCGAUCUUCGGCGAAUCAUCGACACCGUAUAUUAUGUAGUCUUCUCAGACUAUAGGGAUGGAGUCCCUAGCUAAAAUUAUUAACCAGUCAGUAGUUUAUUUGAAAGUACCUAGAGAAAUUUAGUAUUUUUUUAUAUUUUUUUAAAAUUAAUCGUGAUGACUUCCGUGGCUACCGCGAAUCGUGGUUCGAGUUUGCGGAGACGAGACGCCCUAUCCUGAGCGCCAGGACCAACACCCUGUUUUGACAGGGUUCCAAGUUUGGGGCAACCAAAAUCCUCUGCCAGAACCUCUGGAGUCGGUUCCUGAGCAGAAUUCAACAUCUUUAGGCCUACUACCUCCAUCACCGUCUACCUACAGCCCCGGGUGAUACCCGCAUAAUUCUAUCUUUUUAUUCACGAACUCAAAAAUAGUGUAACCCAGUUAAGACAGCGGACAGUAAAAAAGCAGUUCGAGGAGAAGAAAUUUAUAUUAUGUUUUGGAAGGACUAUAUGUACAACCUUUAAAGUUACCAAUGUUAAUUUCAUUCUUGUUUUUAAAUAUUUUAAUUUUUGUUAUACAUUCAGGGCCGGCCCUAUCGUAAAUAACGUUAAGGAAUAUCAUAUAAUAAGUGUAAUUGUGAGUUAUGUAAAUAAGGUCACUUAUCAAUGAAAAACAGACUUUACUAAGGAAAAUUUAAUCUAUAAAAAAGAAAGAACAAUGAUUAAUAAAAUAAGGAAGUCUAUAGACGUAACAGUUGUUUUUAUUUAUUUAAUAUAUAAUAACGAUCCUUUUACUCCCAAGUAUUUGUAGGGAGUUCCUAAAUUUUCUUUGUUUACUCCUAGUGUCGCCUCUGUUGUUGACUUUUAUAGUUAUUAAUUGAGGGCCCCAGUAAUCAAAGUUUCCAAAUCUUUUAACCUUAUUAUUUAAUUAUUCUUUAAGACACUUGGGGUAUUACAAAAUGGUAGCAGAGCAUGGUUACGUCUAUAGGCAUACCUAAGUUGAAAGGUCAUACCUAAAAUUAAAAUUAAAAAAAAGAAUUGAAUAAAAAAAAAAUUUAUAUUUUUUUUGUCACUUAGAAUAUUUUUGUAGUAAGUAAUUUGUGAACUGUCCGCUGAUACACAUAGUAGCUAAAUUGACCCUUGAAUUUUAAAAUUAUCAUAAGUUUUGCUGCACUUUGGUCUGGGUGCUUACAUCUGAGCGCGAGCCGAGAGGCAGCUGGCUGCCCACCCACGCGACUCAGCCCGCGCGCGUGGCUUAUCAACAGAGACGUGUCCGCUGGGCAAGAUACUCCCCCCCCAACUCCCCUUGUUAAAGGUGCUACGCGCCAAGGUCAGACCUGCCGGCUGACGUGACGUUCAUUGUAGGUACCCUGUUGUGCAAGCUAACCUGACAGCUUGUUACACCCGAGUACACUGUUCAUUUCCCGACGCGCGUAGUAAUAAUAAUAAUAAAUUAUGAAGGCACAUUCUUCCCACGCAAUAAGGCAAUUGUUUUAAUUAUAAGCUAUAUUUAAGUGUAUUUAUAAGUUUAAAGUAAGAGAUAAUUUUAAGAGGGUAGUGUUUUGUUUUGUGUAAUACUAUGAAUCCGGAAAGGAUGAUUACUCCGGAGCUAUUACUAGUAGAUGAAUUAAGUUACGAGUUGCAGUUGCGUAAUUUACCAACUACUGGAAAUGCGCAAGAGCUGCGAAAAAGGCUUCGAGCCGCAGUACGUGAUAAGUUACCUACCUCAGUACAUAAUCUAAAUUUAGAAAUACUCGAGGAAUUCAACAUAGCUUGCUCCAAAUUUUACGACAUAGCUGCUUUCGUAAGUUAUUCAGAUGUGGAAGAGAAUUUGCCCAAUGUAAAGCGACACAUUAUGCGAUUAGAGCAUGUCACCAGACGACUGGAAAAUCUUGUGGUACUUUCCGCAGAUGUGCUCAAUGGUGUUUAUCGAACAGAGCUAAAUCGUUGUCUGCAACAAACAAACGCCUUCCAAAUUAAAUUGAAAGCUAGGGCAGCUCAAUUAGAAACUCAACAGGACCUCCGGGCCAACAAUGCCCAGGCAGAAAACCUAGGAAUGGAAACAAUAGGAAAUGUAGAGAGUGAAAAUCCGGAAUUUCCUCAGGAAAUAAGGCAACCCGACACACAAGUAUCUUUGUGUCAAACAAGGCAGGUUCCACCCAUUUCAUCAACAUCAACAUCUCAAUCACUCAUCACGGUUUCAACCCCUCCCAUCCCAGCAGCCACCAUUCAAAUUCCCUCAGGCAUACAUGCUUCUACAGCUCCCAUCACCAGUGUCACAUUUUCCGGUAACUUGCCUGCAAAUCCACAUCCUUUAACACAACAAAAUUUGUUUUUCCCAUUCGCCACAAACCAGUCAUAUUUUAAUCCAUAUUCCCAGUUUCAUUCUUUAUUGACAUCCGGGCAAGGAACUCCGAUCCCUACCAUCCCCACCGCGCAAAUUGCACAUCCUUCACCCCCACCUCCGCCAUCAACGCAGAAUCAACCAGAAACAGCAUUACCAGUUACGCCAAGGGCGGCUGAGUAUAGCUGUUAUGGGAAAAUUGCCCAUCCAGUCGAGAGAUUACUUGUUGGUUUUCCAGAAACAAGUGGUCUUGACCCAGAUAAAUUAAUCGAAUUCAUAAGGCACUUACUUAAAAUCAGACAGAAAGGGGGCAUUCCUGACAAACAGUUGUUGGAGAUAGUUUUUCCCUACACCCAACCACCACUGAGUGAAAGAACGAGUCAAGCAAUAGAAAAUAGUUACUCUUUUGACAAAUACCACGAAGAAAUUUUGAAUUUUUUUAUACCUGCCAGACUUUUGACAAAUUACCGUUUGGAAUGGUACAACAGGCUACAGCGAAGUAAUGAAGCAUUGCCGCACUAUGUAGCAUCAAUCAGAGAAGCCGCGGCGGUUCUCAGAUUGGGCGUAUCAGAGAGCGAAAUAGUUAGUUGCAUAGUAGACGGACUAAAUCAGGCAGAGCGCUCACGCGCUGUUUUCCAGGCUAGGCCACGGAGUUUUGUAGAACUAGAUCAACUCUGUAUACAGGCCAUGAGUUACGAAAAUGCAGACACUCAGAGAAACAGGUCAGCGAAGUCCGUGGAUAAGCAUGAUUCUCAGGCAGAAACUGCAAAUAGUUUUCCAUACACGAAACAACAGAAUAGCCACCCACAACAGAAAACAAACUACUACAGAAAUAAUAAGUAUGGUUCAAACAAGAACAUACAACAACAAACACCUUUCUGUAAUUAUUGCAAGCAAACAGGACAUUACAUUGAGCAAUGUAACCACAAAAAUUUCAAACCAAAUUUCAACAAGGCAAAAAACGCGUAAGGCGGUGGCCAGGCAAAUUUCUACCUGGUCCACCUAAAACUUCAUCCGAGAGGAAUUUUUCUGUUCAUAAUGUGCAUACUAACGAAUCACAAAAACAAGAUGAAAAUCAAAAAAGGCAUAACACCGGAAAACAAAAACACAAGAAAAAUAAA